CAGCAGCCGCGGUAAUACGAAGGGUGCAAGCGUUAAUCGGAAUUACUGGGCGUAAAGCGUGCGUAGGCGGUUUGUUAAGUCUGUUGUGAAAUCCCCGGGCUCAACCUGGGAAUGGCAAUGGAUACUGGCAAGCUAGAGUGUGUCAGAGGAUGGUGAAAUUCCCGGUGUAGCGGUGAAAUGCGUAGAGAUCGGGAGGAACAUCAGUGGCGAAGGCGGCCAUCUGGGACAACACUGACGCUGAGGCACGAAAGCGUGGGGAGCAAACAGGAUUAGAUACCCCAGUAGUCCCUGUCUCUUAUAC
RNAcentral lists this ribosomal RNA (301 nucleotides) under uncultured bacterium. RNAcentral's name for it is "partial 16S ribosomal RNA". It matches the Rfam family "Bacterial small subunit ribosomal RNA", at positions 509 to 807 of the family's 1533-position model. The record is from RNAcentral.